GAUCAUGGCUCAGGAUGAACGCUAGCUACAGGCUUAACACAUGCAAGUCGAGGGGCAUCAUGGAGUUGCUUGCAAACUCUGAUGGCGACCGGCGCACGGGUGAGUAACGCGUAUCCAACCUUCCCUAUAGUAGAGGAUAGCCCGGCGAAAGUCGGAUUAAUACUCUAUGUUUUCCGUUGCAGACAUCUAAGAUGGAACAAAGGCUUGCCGCUAUAGGAUGGGGAUGCGUCUGAUUAGGUAGUCGGCGGGGUAACGGCCCACCGAGCCAUCGAUCAGUAGGGGUUCUGAGAGGAAGGUCCCCCACAUUGGAACUGAGACACGGUCCAAACUCCUACGGGAGGCAGCAGUGAGGAAUAUUGGUCAAUGGGCGAGAGCCUGAACCAGCCAAGUAAGCGUGCAGGACGACGGCCCUAUGGGUUGUAAACUGUCUUUUAUGCGGGGAUAAAGUUCACUACGUGUAGUGUUUUGUAGGUACCGCAUGAAUAAGGACCGGCUAAUUCCGUGCCAGCCGCGGC
This 515-nucleotide ribosomal RNA is filed under the name uncultured bacterium. Its description in RNAcentral is "bacterial SSU rRNA". It matches the Rfam family "Bacterial small subunit ribosomal RNA", at positions 15 to 518 of the family's 1533-position model. The record is from RNAcentral.